UGGUUAGUUUGGCCACCGGCCGGUGAUGAGCCGCCGAGCACUCUAGCCAGACUGCCCGUACAAGCGGGAGGAAGGUGGGGAGUGACGUCAAGUCAGCAUGGCCCUUACGCCCAGGGCUGCACACGUGCUACAAUGGCCGGUACAGAGGGAGGCAAUACCGCAAGGUGGAGCAAAUCCAUUAGAACCGGCCCCAGUUCAGAUUGCAGGCUGCAACUCGCCUGCAUGAAGUUGGAUUCGCUAGUAACGGCGCAUCAGCUACGGCGCCGUGAAUACGUUCCCGGGCCUU
RNAcentral lists this ribosomal RNA (286 nucleotides) under uncultured Lentisphaerota bacterium. Its description in RNAcentral is "uncultured Lentisphaerae bacterium partial 16S ribosomal RNA". It matches the Rfam family "Bacterial small subunit ribosomal RNA", at positions 1108 to 1382 of the family's 1533-position model. The record is from RNAcentral. Lineage: Bacteria; Pseudomonadati; Lentisphaerota.